GCWUAUCAAUAAGCGGAGGA
This 20-nucleotide ribosomal RNA is filed under the name Ceratobasidium sp. AG-R. RNAcentral describes it as "partial 28S ribosomal RNA". The record is from RNAcentral. Lineage: Eukaryota; Fungi; Basidiomycota; Agaricomycetes; Cantharellales; Ceratobasidiaceae.